AUUUUAGACAUUCUUUUGUACUAUUGGUCUUUGUUGUGUCUGUUCAGUGUUUUAAGCUUUCCAUGUAAAAAGGUGGUGCUCUGUUGUUCUUUUGUUUUAUUUUAUUGCUUUUUGAGAGAAAAGUCUUGAAUCAAAAUUGAAAAUGGAAUGAGGAAACCCAGUGAUACAGAUUUAGUUGAAAUUCAGCAUUAGCAAUAAGGUAGUUGAUUUAAAUUAUAAUUCGGUUUUCCAUAAUCAUCACAUAUUUUGAGGGGAAAAAAAGUAGAAUGAUUCACUAUGGUUUGUGUUGGCAAGGUUAUUCUUACACAGAGUGCUCACUGAAGUCAAUGGAGCUCUGAAAAGAUCAGACAGUUUCCUGACACAGUAACAUUGCAGUUUGAAUCUUAAUGUAUCACCUUUGGUGUAGUGGAUUUUUUGUUGACUUGUGAUUUUUUUUUGCAUUGUUUAAGAGUACAUCCCAAUUUUCUCUUGUAGACGUGCAGUAUAUGGAUUUGGCCAUUUUAGAGUCAUCUAAACUAAAAUAUUUAGCAUUCAUGGUGAUAGUUACUUUGGAAUAGAAAUGUUUACCUGUUAGCUUUAUUUUUUAAAAGGAAUUUUUCUUUUAUGUUACUGUUGAAAAUGUUACUUUAUGUGUCAUAAAGCUUUUCUUAUCUAUAGCAAUACUUCUCUUUGGUUUUAGAUAUCUCCUUAAAUAAGCAGUGAUCUGUACAGAAUGCUUCCAUCAUAAAAUGCUUUUAAAAACUCUUAAAAAACCAAAAUGCUUGAUGAAUACUAAAUUGGCAAAUGUUCCUUUGCCUAGCUGUGAGGCCACACUUUUAUGGAUAUAUUGAAUACAAGACAGCUUGUAUUGUUAGUAUAGUAUCCUAGAUCUGAAUACAGUUACCUGAAGCGUGGUCCUAAGGUAGGCGUUUUUGCUGGAGUUAGGCAGAGCCCCAUUGACUUCAUUGGGAUCAUUGUGUAACCGAGCAUCUAACUGUUUAGCUCUGGCCCUUUUGCCUCUUUGGAGUGGAAUCAUUCCAGCUGAUGGAGUGAACCUGACUUCACUUUCAACCUGGUAGCUUUGCCAUGAACAAUAUGUAUAGUGGUUGAACCAUGAACUGCAGCAAGUCCAGAAAUACCCCUUAUACAUCUCUAACUGCAAGAGUUCAAAAAAAUACUGUUAACUUCCUAGAGUUUGUUAACGAUGGUCCCAGAGUACUGUUUUUUGGCAUGUUUGCCACAUCGUGAUCUAGAUAGUGUGAGAUAAGCGCUGCUGUAAUAAUCAUCUGGGAUUUUCUUAGCAAACUCUGCCAGGUCUUCAAAAUUUCAGAAACCCUCUAAGUACUUUUCACUAAAUGCCAUAUUGACCUACAACUGACCUGCCUGUUCUUGUAGCCUUCUUACUAGGGGCAUAUCGCACAUUUGUCUUUGUAAAGCCUAGAUUUUUAGUUGCUUCUGUGCCUUGUUUUGGGGCCUUUUUGGUUUCGUAUUUUGAACUUGUUCUAAAACCACAAAGAGAAUAUGGCUGUAUCCACUUGCAACUGUGUAUAGGCUAAGGGGAUCAGAGUCCCCAGUUGGAAAAUUGCCCCUAAAUACAUUGACUAAGGUUUAUUCAGGAUCUUAGUUUUACAUUUUGUCAAAAAGAUGUUAAUACUGAUUCAGUACUUCCAGAGAGGGAAGAUUGUUGCCUAAUGAGUGAAUACACCUCCUGGUGUUUUUCUUCUGAUGAGAUCACUGCCUGACAUGAUAUGGCAACAGGCAGGUAAAGCUACAUUUUUCCUGUCUGUUGGUGGUAGACAAUGAGUGGAAGGAGAAAAAAUUAAAGUUCUGACAAAUCUUGUUCCGACUCUUAUUUGUAGCUGACUUAUUAGGUGUUUCUGAGAAACUGUAUUAAAAUGUCACUCUUCAAAAUCAUUCUAGACUCCACAGAAAUCUUGUUCCAACUCU
This is a long non-coding RNA of Lepidothrix coronata (blue-crowned manakin), 1926 nucleotides long. RefSeq lists it as uncharacterized. NCBI's taxonomy places the organism in Eukaryota, Metazoa, Chordata, Aves, Passeriformes, Pipridae. The transcript has 3 exons. The record is from RefSeq and is a predicted model, not a curated record.